UGGCUGGGCGGGGACAGAUGGUCGAUGGGCGUGGCCUUAUUGUAGGGGCGGGGCAAUGAUGAGGGGAGGGCGGGGCAAGGCAGGCCGGCACCGCCCCGGAAACACAGCCUCUGCCGACCGCGCUCCACGCGCCUCCCUACUUUGCCAGUUGGUUUCCCACGCGGGCUCCCCCCCCCCACCCCCACCGCCGAGUCCCAGCGCCUUCCGCAGGGCCGAGGGGUCGUCGCCAGCUCACCGGCAGCAGAGCCGGGCGGACCGCGCCCAGGGCUGACUCACAACGCGCUCACUGCUGACCUCGCUCCGGCUGAGCUACAAGACCUGGAGCAACUCAGCUGCUUCCGAAAACAGAGGUUAGAGUGCCACCCCCGCGGGGGUCGUCGGCUAAACCAUCACUUCUGUGAAGUGAAGAGAGUUCUAAAUAAACUUCUACUAAAUACCAUCUGAGCCUAUUCCUGCACAAAAGAGAGACUGAAGAAAAGAAAUUUGGGCCAAAUUCCAUAUUCCUGUCCUCUUUCAUGGCAGAAAAUUGGUCAAAGGCACCACAGUAGCAUGAAACUGAAAAGGAGUAGCAUCACCUACUGAAUGUUUAAGGGCAGUGCCUGCAACUGACCAGGAAGAGGCAGUAAGAGAGCAACCAGGUCUGCAGCACCUUCCUGCCUGGACUUGACUACCCCAGGAGCAGAGGGCCCAGGAAACUCUCCAAGCACUUCUCCACAGAAGAAAAUAGCUCGAGUUGAAACUUGUGUCCACAUGGUCCCCCGACGAAUUUAGAACUCAAAUUAUAGCCUCGGCAGGAAUCUUCACAAAGGACUCAAAUUAAGCAAGACCCAGAUGGAAACGAACAGGAGAAAGACAGCUUUAAGUCACACUGUAAAGUGAACUACAGUUCUAGCAGAGUCAGAGAGAAGAACUUGUUGAAACGCUAAACCAAACAGUUCAGCCUACAUUUCAGAACUCUACUUCAAGAACAUUCUCCCCCAUGUUUUUAGCCUGAGACUUGUGCAUGGACACGAAGUGGUUACAAGUUACUCAGGUUUCAAACUGAGUUCAUUCCUGUCCUUUGGACCAUCUCUCAAUGCCAGCAUUCAUCUACUUGGGCUCCAGAGAGCUCUGCGUUUGGCAAAGCAGAUAAAAUUAGCUACUGGAGUGAAUUUGGAAUCCAGGGUGGGCCAUUAAAAAAAGUACACAUGAGAUUUGUAAAAGCCAUGUAAAAACUUCCUUUGGGCCAGGCUGAAGUUACCUAAAACGUAGAGAAAUACUGUCCUUUGCCUC
Molecule: long non-coding RNA, 1272 nt
Organism: Panthera uncia (snow leopard)
Lineage: Eukaryota; Metazoa; Chordata; Mammalia; Carnivora; Felidae
Exons: 3
Source: RefSeq, a predicted model, not a curated record